CAUGAUUGCACUAUAAAUUUCUCUGAAAUGUUUUUACUCUACUUAAUGCUGGGGAAUACUAGAAUGUGACAAGUUGUUCCUGUAAAGCCCGUUAUGUAAACCCAAGAUUUCUGUGAACUCUUGCUCUUGUCAGUCCUGGUGUAUAUGUUGUGAAAUGCCUCUGGCACUUCAAAUGAGUCUUGAUUACUUGAGAAUAUUGAUGACUCCGUUAGGCUAUUUACCUUCUUAAUCCUGAAUAUUUCUGGGUGAAGUCCCAGUUUAGUAAUGCUGUGGCUCUAGAAGUUGCAUAUAAGAACCUUUCUUAAAUUCUUGUGUUAAGAUGGAAGUAAUUUGCCUGCUUUAGGCUCAGUGUGGCAUGUGGGUUUUCUAUAAUUAUCUUAAUUUAUGAAUAUAAAACUUACAGUUACAUCUACGUCAGUUCAGUGACUGAGUUUUAUCAGUUGGUGGAACUUGACUCCUUGAAAACACAAUGCUUAGGAAAAAAAGUUAUUAACUACUCCAGUGAAUAUUGUGAAAAAUCAUCGGUCUCUUGGAGGAAAAUUGCCUACUUCCCUGAAACGCUUUAGUCGUACAACAAUAAUAAUGUUGCCAAUUUAGAAGAGGAUGCUGAAAGAAGGGAAGUUGCUGCUUACAAGAUUAUGCUGGUACACAAAGGGUGAGUAGCAGACUGUUGGUGGCCUACUGGAAUAAGUAGGGAAAGGUAAUUUGUCUGUCCCAUCUGCUUUAUGGGGGUGGAGGGGAUGAGACCAGCACUUAAUUUGUAAAAUUACAGCUUCAGAUUGGCACAACGUCUAAACUAAAAAAUAUUAUUAGGCAGCAGGUUACUGGCUAAGUGGACUGGUCCAUAAUGCGAAGAGAAUCCUCUCCCUAGCCAGCAAGGCAUGCAUUUCUGCAGUUGAGCCAGUAGUUCUGGCUACUUUGCUGUCUUGUAUUUAAAUGUGUAUUCUGAGGCCUGUUUAACCUGAGGCUUUUGACUUGUUAUCAGGUUUGUCCCUUUGGCUCUGUCACAGCUAAUGUCCACAAAAGCAGGAAUCAAAGGGAAGUGCUGCAUCUCACUGAAUGAGGGAGUGCAAAAUGUCAGAUUGGACUGGUUGUGGUAAAGGCUGUAGGAGUUGCCAUGUGAUCUAUAGCUCACUGAAAAACUUGUGCAGAAGAUGCUGUAGUUAUAAGUAACUGUAGAGAAGAAAAGCUACGUUUUUGCAACAGAAAUGCAUGUUCUUUAUCUGCAACUAUCAAGAGGUUAUAGGUAAGGGCAAACUCAAAAUGGUUUUGAUUGAUUGUGUAGUUUUCAAACUAUUUGGAGGUGCCUGGCUUUGUGAUCUCUUCCAAUUCAAGAACUUUCAGUUCCUAGCCCAAAGAGUGGUAGUGUAUUUUUAAAACAGGCUGUUGUAUUGAAUAUGGUGUUAAGUGGAUAUAUUUUUCUCCCUUCCCACUUCAAGUGUAAGCUACAUUUAUGGUUAAUAAUUCUUAACAUUGAGUGGCUUUUCUUUGCAGUUAUUAGGAGGAGAUGUUUCCAUGCCAUGUAGUCUGUUGAGCUUAAGGGAUGCCAUGAGAGUCAGGGUUGAAUAGGCAGGUGUGCUCUAGAACCUUCAGGUGGUGAUGUAAUUCACCUGUAGUAUCUGCAUGUUAUCACUAGGUCUCCAUACUAUUUUUACUAGAGUUUUGGCAGCCUUGAUUAACAAACAGUACAGGUGCUUCGCUGGUUGACAUAUUCUUCAGCCAUAAAUAGUUAAACUUUUGGCUUUAAUUAUGUCACUGAAUCUUUGAUACAGUAAACUUCUAGAGCGUUCUUUUUGAGCUUGGGAAUUCAAACAAAUAUGUCAGCAGUAACUUUUUUUUAGGAGGAUGUUCAAAUUGGCAAGCUUUAGUUUUGCCCUCUCUAACUUAUGUUUGUGUUGGGUUUGACCUGCGAUUUCAAUAUACAUACCACAUAGAAUGAAAUAAUUGUGAAUUUUACUGUGUUGCCAUAAUUCUUUUCUAUAUUAUGCCAGUACCUGUAAUUCUCUGUACUUCCACUAAGUGUUAUAAACCAGUAAUGCUUCCCCCCACCCUAGCCCCCCGAGUUCUUUCUGUGGGGAAGGAGAAGAAUGGAUGUUCUGCACUUGCAAAUCAGAAAAUGUAUGUUGUACAUGCUACUGAAUUUGAUGACAGAGAUGUCUUUGAAUGUGUGAAGCCAAAAUGCUUAGCCACCAUUACUGGGUGGAAAUGGCAGCCAAGCAACAGUGAAUUCCAGGAGACAAAUGCUGAGGCAAAGUCAUAACUUUGUUCCUGUGUUCAACAGCCAAAUGACAGUUGAUUGCAGUAUUUGCCACUUGAUUUUAAUCUGUGAUUUAAAGAUAUUUUCCAUAAAGCCAUCAGGUAUUUGUAUGAGGACACUGCUUAAUAUCCAAAGUUUGUUGUUUUAGGGAUUUUUUUAAUCUGAAUAAUCCUCCCCUAAAACAACUACCUCUUUCUAUCCCCCAGCCUUCACUUCUGUGGCUGCUGUUUCAGGGAGUUAUUGUUAAUUUGCAUUUAAUCAGCUCUUGCAGGUUGAAUGGCGGAAAACUAGGAUAGUUUGAUAACUUUGUGUGCAUGUUUUCCUAUGCAUGCAGCAGUGACUUUGAUAACCUGCAGCCUGAAAGGUUGGUGUGGAACUGCUGAACUAAAAGGGCCAUUAAAAGUAGAAGUCAGAAAUUACAUGCUUAUAAAUGAUUACUCCAUGAAUCCAUGCUCCCCUGUGGCUCAGUAUAAAUGUCCUUGCCUAGAUGAAGGCUUGCUGUUCCAUCCUUGGUUUAGUUUUGGAAAUUCAAGACACAAACUGGGUGAAAUUGUGUUACUACUAUUAACUAGUGUUUUGUGCUUUUCCCAGGGGACUAUGUCAUCUAACUGAUGCAGAAAUUUUCAGUCUUGUGU
Strigops habroptila (Kakapo) is the source of this 2892-nucleotide long non-coding RNA. RefSeq lists it as uncharacterized. The transcript is spliced from 2 exons. The record is from RefSeq and is a predicted model, not a curated record. Lineage: Eukaryota; Metazoa; Chordata; Aves; Psittaciformes; Psittacidae.